ACUGUACGAGUUUGAUCCUGGCUCAGAUUGAACGCUGGCGGCGUGCUUUACACAUGCAAGUCGAACGGUAACAGGGAGCUUGCUCCGCUGACGAGUGGCGAACGGGUGAGUAAUGCAUCGGAACGUACCCAGUCGUGGGGGAUAACGUAGCGAAAGUUACGCUAAUACCGCAUACGUCCUGAGGGAGAAAGCGGGGGACCGUAAGGCCUCGCGCGAUUGGAGCGGCCGAUGUCGGAUUAGCUAGUUGGUAGGGUAAAGGCCUACCAAGGCGACGAUCCGUAGCGGGUCUGAGAGGAUGAUCCGCCACACUGGGACUGAGACACGGCCCAGACUCCUACGGGAGGCAGCAGUGGGGAAUUUUGGACAAUGGGCGAAAGCCUGAUCCAGCCAUGCCGCGUGAGUGAAGAAGGCCUUCGGGUUGUAAAGCUCUUUCAGGUGGAAAGAAAACGCAUAGGUUAAUACCUUGUGCGGAUGACGGUACCAUCAGAAGAAGCACCGGCUAACUACGUG
RNAcentral lists this ribosomal RNA (510 nucleotides) under uncultured bacterium. RNAcentral describes it as "bacterial SSU rRNA". It matches the Rfam family "Bacterial small subunit ribosomal RNA", at positions 1 to 507 of the family's 1533-position model. The record is from RNAcentral.